AGUGAACGCUGGCGGUAGGCCUAACACAUGCAAGUCGAACGGCAGCACAGUAAGAGCUUGCUCUUACGGGUGGCGAGUGGCGGACGGGUGAGGAAUACAUCGGAAUCUACUUUUUCGUGGGGGAUAACGUAGGGAAACUUACGCUAAUACCGCAUACGACCUACGGGUGAAAGCAGGGGAUCUUCGGACCUUGCGCGAUUGAAUGAGCCGAUGUCGGAUUAGCUAGUUGGCGGGGUAAAGGCCCACCAAGGCGACGAUCCGUAGCUGGUCUGAGAGGAUGAUCAGCCACACUGGAACUGAAACACGGUCCAGACUCCUACGGGAGGCAGCAGUGGGGAAUAUUGGACAAUGGGCGCAAGCCUGAUCCAGCUAUACCGCGUGGGUGAAGAAGGCCUUCGGGUUGUAAAGCCCUUUUGUUGGGAAAGAAAAGCAGCAGGUUAAUACCCCGCUGUUCUGACGGUACCCAAAGAAUAAGCACCGGCUAACUUCGUG
RNAcentral lists this ribosomal RNA (492 nucleotides) under uncultured bacterium. RNAcentral's name for it is "partial 16S ribosomal RNA". It matches the Rfam family "Bacterial small subunit ribosomal RNA", at positions 29 to 507 of the family's 1533-position model. The record is from RNAcentral.